Molecule: ribosomal RNA, 303 nt
Filed under: Escherichia coli
Lineage: Bacteria; Pseudomonadati; Pseudomonadota; Gammaproteobacteria; Enterobacterales; Enterobacteriaceae
Also listed under: 1 other name
Description: partial 16S ribosomal RNA
Rfam family: Bacterial small subunit ribosomal RNA
Source: RNAcentral
AAAUUGAAGAGUUUGAUCAUGGCUCAGAUUGAACGCUGGCGGCAGGCCUAACACAUGCAAGUCGAACGGUAACAGGAAGCGCUUGCUGCUUCGCUGACGAGUGGCGGACGGGUGAGUAAUGUCUGGGAAACUGCCUGAUGGAGGGGGAUAACUACUGGAAACGGUAGCUAAUACCGCAUAACGUCGCAAGACCAAAGAGGGGGACCUUCGGGCCUCUUGCCAUCGGAUGUGCCCAGAUGGGAUUAGCUUGUUGGUGGGGUAACGGCUCACCAAGGCGACGAUCCCUAGCUGGUCUGAGAGGAU